AAAUUGAAGAGUUUGAUCAUGGCUCAGAUUGAACGCUGGCGGCAGGCCUAACACAUGCAAGUCGAACGGUAGCACAGAGAGCUUGCUCUCGGGUGACGAGUGGCGGACGGGUGAGUAAUGUCUGGGAAACUGCCUGAUGGAGGGGGAUAACUACUGGAAACGGUGGCUAAUACCGCAUAACGUCGCAAGACCAAAGAGGGGGACCUUCGGGCCUCUUGCCAUCAGAUGUGCCCAGAUGGGAUUAGCUAGUUGGUGAGGUAACGGCUCACCAAGGCGACGAUCCCUAGCUGGUCUGAGAGGAUGACCAGCCACACUGGAACUGAGACACGGUCCAGACUCCUACGGGAGGCAGCAGUGGGGAAUAUUGCACAAUGGGCGCAAGCCUGAUGCAGCCAUGCCGCGUGUAUG
This 408-nucleotide ribosomal RNA is filed under the name Salmonella enterica. RNAcentral's name for it is "bacterial SSU rRNA". It matches the Rfam family "Bacterial small subunit ribosomal RNA", at positions 1 to 407 of the family's 1533-position model. Lineage: Bacteria; Pseudomonadati; Pseudomonadota; Gammaproteobacteria; Enterobacterales; Enterobacteriaceae. The record is from RNAcentral. RNAcentral also lists the same sequence under 2 other names.